Non-coding RNA from Zea mays, 142 nucleotides. NCBI's taxonomy places the organism in Eukaryota, Viridiplantae, Streptophyta, Magnoliopsida, Poales, Poaceae. The record is from Rfam.
CCCCUUAACGACGAAGAGUUUGUAUCCUAUCUCCUCACUGGUCUUGAUGAGGAACGCUACAAUCCUCUCGUUUCAUCUAUUCUUACUCGCAUAGAACCUGUUACACCUUCUGAAUUACUCUCGCAAAUGCUGAGUUAUGAAC